This is a long non-coding RNA of Daphnia pulex (common water flea), 560 nucleotides long. RefSeq lists it as uncharacterized. The record is from RefSeq and is a predicted model, not a curated record. NCBI's taxonomy places the organism in Eukaryota, Metazoa, Arthropoda, Branchiopoda, Diplostraca, Daphniidae. The transcript has 2 exons.
GCCCACCUGCAAUACCAAUGAACCAUGUACAUUCUUACUCAGCUAAAAAUUUAAAGAAUUAUUACCACAACAAGUCAUUGCUGUCUCUAGAUAAUUUCCAGGCAAGUUCAAACAUAAGAAGAGCAGUCUAAACGACGAAAAUGAAUGCCUUUUUUCUCUACGACGCAUAACCAUUUCAGCAGGAUCCAAUUUCUGACGUUUGGAUUUAGAUUCACGAACUUCUUCUUCAUCAUCAUCACCAUCACCAUUUGCUUCUCCAUCUGAAGGAUUGCUGCCCUAAUUAUUUUAAAAAUUUAUCAGUUUCAAAUUUAAACAUAUGCCAAUUAAUUAACUACCUCAUCAUCAUCAUCGUCAUCAUCAUUCCCAAAGAUAUCUUCAUAUGUUGGUAUAUCUUCUUUCUCAUUUACCUUUCCCAGUAUACAAACCUAAACAAUGGCACACAAUCAACAAAGUUUUCGCUAUAAAAAGUAAACAGUGAUAUUUACCUGUCCAUCGUUGUAGAUGUUACAAACAUCAUAUGGCCGAUGUGAGUCUGCAAUAUAGAAGAUUUUUUCCUCUGA